Molecule: long non-coding RNA, 738 nt
Organism: Daphnia pulex (common water flea)
Lineage: Eukaryota; Metazoa; Arthropoda; Branchiopoda; Diplostraca; Daphniidae
Exons: 4
Source: RefSeq, a predicted model, not a curated record
AUGCCAGAUGCGGACGUUUUUAAUUGUAAAACUGAAAAUGGCAAUGUUGCGCCUUACUUUCAAGAUGGCUGCUGACAGUCUGACAGCCUCGACGAUCUAAGUCAACUCAACUGAUUUUCCCUGACAUUAUUCGUCAUAAAAAUGAUAAAAUAGCCUACAAUUGAAACUUGUCAAUUCCAUCUGUUCAUGUGGCCUGAAACUGUUGUUUCCCAAAAUGUCGUCUCUUGCUGCACGUACCAGCUGUGCGUUUCGUCACAUGUAGAAAUACUUCACAACAGUAACAGUGAUCAUGUUGGUGUAACCCUAAGCAUGGUGAAGUCUGAGCUUCUUCAUGGCAUUCCAAUUUGCCGUGCAGUGUGAUAUGUUGCAGCCAGCUGUCGAAAGGUGUUCCUCUUGCAGUCUUGCUACCUCUACCGUUUGUAGCUUUCGUCACAUGCAGAAACACUUCCGAACUAUUCAAAUAGGAUUACCAGCCACUUGAGGUCUGAGCCUCUUUGUUGCAGUCCAAUGUGUACAUGAAUUUUGGGCAGCCAGCUAGUGAACGGUGUGGUGAGCUGUUGCAUGCAGACUGUGGUGCUGGUGCUGGUGUUGGUCAUUCGAGUUAUGCUGUUGCUGUUCUUUGGUGCCGGACUGCUGGUGUUGUGCACAAAAGUUGCAUCCAGUUUUAAUUGUUAAUUGUGUCUAUGCAGUUAACCGUUUAUAUGUUGAAAAGGGACAGAAAAGUUCCUUGGUGUUGAA